GAUGCUGGACUGGAUGAUGGACUGGUUGGGGGACUGGAUGCUGGACUGGAUGAUGGACUGGUUGGGGGACUGGUUGGUUAUCUGGACUCUGGUGGCUUUUGGCCAUGUUACCUGUUUGUUUUCCCAGUGGACCAGUAAUGUCUGUCCUCAGGUUUGGACUCAGAGUGUCUUCAGGAUCUGGUUCAUGUUCCCUCCUCAGUCCAGGACCAUGAUGCUCUCUGUUUGCAGCAGGGGGGCACUCACAGAACUUCAGUUACAUCAGAUUAUUUGUACUUUGCUGGAGUCAAAGUAAAGCGAGCUGCACUGAAAGUAUCAAAGUAGAAGUACUCACAGCAGAAAGAUACGCCCUCUGUAACUAAGCCUCGUGUUUCAGCAGCUCGGCCGUCAGGAUGUUUGCAGUCGAGUGGAAAGCAGCAGAAAAUGGAAAUACUCAACGUUUGUACUCGAGCGAAUAAAAUGAUAUUUCACUGCUGAGAUCAGUUCUUUGCUUUUUCUGCCGUUUGUUUCUUAUUUUAGUCCAAAGUGACGUCUCAAACACAGAGACUCACUGACUGAGAGAAAACAUUUCGCUUGAAAAAUGACUAAAACGAUGAAACAAUUAUCAAAAUAACUGCAGAUUAAUUUUCUGUCAGUUGACUCUGAAACAUUAAGAACAACAAAUACGAAUUAAAAACAUGAAACAAAAACAGACAUCAAACCUCGCAUCAACACAUCAUCAAUAAUUAGAAAUGAAUAAAAAAUAAUCCACAUAUACACAAAUAUAUACACACUAAUUAAAAGCAUCAUUAACUUUCAGGAUGAUUAUUAGAAGAUUCAGUUCACUGAGACAUUAAUAAUAUUCCUGUUUAUUAACACGAAUAUGGAUAUUUUCCUAUUUGAUGGGGUUUGCAUUAUGAUGUCUGCUGCGUCUUAAAUUAAAUAAAACUUUUGAUCUGAAAAAUCUGCGUCACAAA
Siniperca chuatsi (mandarin fish) is the source of this 953-nucleotide long non-coding RNA. RefSeq lists it as uncharacterized. The transcript has 3 exons. The record is from RefSeq and is a predicted model, not a curated record. Lineage: Eukaryota; Metazoa; Chordata; Actinopteri; Centrarchiformes; Sinipercidae.